Molecule: unclassified non-coding RNA, 587 nt
Filed under: Bombus terrestris (buff-tailed bumblebee)
Lineage: Eukaryota; Metazoa; Arthropoda; Insecta; Hymenoptera; Apidae
Description: misc RNA ENSBTSG00005037620.1
Source: RNAcentral
UUUUCUUUUUACCUACGAUCAACAUGUUUGCAAUGAACGACUUGAAUCACCGUAAAGCAAUUCACGAAUCGUAGAACGCGAACGUCCGUGCGAUUUAUUCGGGUUACACGAGACGUAAUCCCGUUCAGGCCGACCUGGCUUUCGAGCGUCAUCGCGUGUCUUUCAUCGACGUAUUUUCGGCAUCAUGCCACGGACAAGCUGGUGUAAUAUGUUCCAAGUGCGUCAUAAUUAAAACAGCCGAACGCCGCGAUGCAUUCGUCGAAAGCUUAUGACGAUCGCGGAAGGAACUCCGAUGCCCAGGAAUUUCACAGGAACAGCCACGCAAUAGCAUCGAUGAGCCGAUUCACGAUUUCUACUUGGUUUGCCCGUCAUAGUGGGUGAUUACCUCAGUCAGGACACGUAGGCAUAAAUCCUUUCGAUCGAUGGAAGUGAAGAAUAUCCUGAAUGUCUUGGGAUCUUUUGCAAUAGUUUUAUGUUAGACAGAUAAUAGUGUUGUAAAUUUUAUUCCUGAUAAAAGUGAUGCUAAUAGUAGUAGAUAGAUUAAAACGAAGAUAAUCUUUCUAUGUCUUUUGUUCGUGCAGUAGGUU